RNAcentral lists this ribosomal RNA (260 nucleotides) under uncultured Synechococcus sp. Its description in RNAcentral is "partial 16S ribosomal RNA". It matches the Rfam family "Bacterial small subunit ribosomal RNA", at positions 1277 to 1533 of the family's 1533-position model. Lineage: Bacteria; Bacillati; Cyanobacteriota; Cyanophyceae; Synechococcales; Synechococcaceae. The record is from RNAcentral.
UAAACCGUGGCUCAGUUCAGAUCGUAGGCUGCAACUCGCCUACGUGAAGGAGGAAUCGCUAGUAAUCGCAGGUCAGCAUACUGCGGUGAAUACGUUCCCGGGCCUUGUACACACCGCCCGUCACACCAUGGAAGUUGGCCACGCCCGAAGUCGUUACUCCAACCCUUGUGGAGGAGGACGCCGAAGGUGGGGCUGAUGACUGGGGUGAAGUCGUAACAAGGUAGCCGUACCGGAAGGUGCGGCUGGAUCACCUCCUAACA